CCGGCGCACGGGUGAGUAACACGUAUCCAACCUGCCGUCUACUCUUGGCCAGCCUUCUGAAGGGAAGAUUAAUCCAGGAUGGCAUCAUGAGUUCACAUGUCCGCAUGAUUAAAGGUAUUUUCCGGUAGACGAUGGGGAUGCGUUCCAUUAGAUAGUAGGCGGGGUAACGGCCCACCUAGUCAACGAUGGAUAGGGGUUCUGAGAGGAAGGUCCCCCACAUUGGAACUGAGACACGGUCCAA
This 241-nucleotide ribosomal RNA is filed under the name uncultured bacterium. Its description in RNAcentral is "partial 16S ribosomal RNA". It matches the Rfam family "Bacterial small subunit ribosomal RNA", at positions 95 to 334 of the family's 1533-position model. The record is from RNAcentral.